Molecule: transfer RNA, 73 nt
Filed under: Yarrowia lipolytica
Lineage: Eukaryota; Fungi; Ascomycota; Dipodascomycetes; Dipodascales
Also listed under: 6 other names
Rfam family: tRNA
About the family: Transfer RNA (tRNA) molecules are approximately 80 nucleotides in length. Their secondary structure includes four short double-helical elements and three loops (D, anti-codon, and T loops).
Source: RNAcentral
GCCUGGCUAGCUCAAUCGGUAGAGCGUGAGACUCUUAAUCUCAAGGCUGUGGGUUCAAGCCCCACGUCGGGCU